GCUCAUUUGAAGUAAGGGGCCUGGGUUGCCCGAGAGGGGAGAAGAAGGCAUUCUGAAUGGAGACAACAGCACUGACACACUGUACAGAGACAGAAUGAGGAGAGCACUGGUAGGAAUCAGAUUCACACUGAAACAUCAGAUCUCCUGGGUCUUCAGUUUGCCAUCUCUGCAGAUACUGGGACUUGCCUGCCUUCAUACUCAUAUUACCCACCCUGGAUGAAAUUGGACAUCAUGUCAUGAGAACACAUGUAGUCGAUGAACAGGCUCACAUUGCAAGGAAGGAAAGCUUCCAACAAAGCAUCCAGCAUCAAGUCACAAGCACCAUGAGUGAGCCACUUGGAAACAGAUUCUCCAGCCUGUCAAGAAGCCUUCACAUGAAUGUAGCACUGGUCAAAAUCUGGACUGCAACCUCCUGAGAGACCCUGAGCCAAGCCACUCCUGAGUCUCUGACCCACAGAAAUUUGAAAAUAAUAAAUACUUAUUUUUGUCAUAAGCUAGUACAUAUUGGACAGUUUGUUACACAGCAAUAGAUAACUAAUGAUUUUAGUACUAGAAAUGAUAUGAUACUGUAAUAAAAACCUAAAAUGUGGGAGAGGUUUUGGAACCAAGAAGUGGGAGAAGCUGAAAGGACUUUGAGGACAGUAUUAGCAGAAUCUUGAUGGCCUUUGAAGAGGCUACUGGUGAGGGCUUAAAAGAAAGUAAAAAAAAAUGUUAUAGGAAACUAGAGGACAGGAAAUCCGUGUUAUGUCAUAGUGGCAGAAAGCUUAACAGACACUGUUACAUGCAGUUACAUGGAAAGUAGAAAAUGUACAGGGGAUGUGGGUGGCUCAGUCGGUUAAGCAUCUGACUCUUGAUCUUGGCUCAGGUCAUGACCUCAGAGUUGAGAUUCUGAACUGCGUAUUGGGCUCUGCACUGACUGUGUGGGGCCUGCUUGGGAUUCUGUCUCUCCCUCUCUCUCAAAAUAAAUAAACUUAAAAAAAUUAUUAAAAAUUUUUUAAAAAUUGAAAAAAAAAACCCAAAUAUUGUAUGAGUCCAUUUAAACAAAAAGAAAAUGUGCCAAUGAACUGGAUUAUCUAGCUAAGGUGA
Acinonyx jubatus (cheetah) is the source of this 1086-nucleotide long non-coding RNA. RefSeq lists it as uncharacterized. NCBI's taxonomy places the organism in Eukaryota, Metazoa, Chordata, Mammalia, Carnivora, Felidae. The record is from RefSeq and is a predicted model, not a curated record. The transcript is spliced from 3 exons.